This 253-nucleotide ribosomal RNA is filed under the name uncultured bacterium. Its description in RNAcentral is "partial 16S ribosomal RNA". It matches the Rfam family "Bacterial small subunit ribosomal RNA", at positions 524 to 776 of the family's 1533-position model. The record is from RNAcentral.
UACGGGGGGAGCAAGCGUUGUCCGGAUUUACUGGGCGUAAAGGGCGCGUAGGCGGCGUGACAAGUCACUUGUGAAAUCUCCGGGCUUAACUCGGAGCGGUCAAGUGAUACUGUCGUGCUAGAGUGCGGAAGGGGCUACUGGAAUUCUCGGUGUAGCGGUGAAAUGCGUAGAUAUCGAGAGGAACACCUGCGGCGAAGGCGGGUAGCUGGGCCGACACUGACGCUGAUGCGCGAAAGCCAGGGGAGCGAACGGG